Molecule: small nucleolar RNA, 100 nt
Filed under: Marmota monax (woodchuck)
Lineage: Eukaryota; Metazoa; Chordata; Mammalia; Rodentia; Sciuridae
Rfam family: Small nucleolar RNA U13
Source: RNAcentral
UCCUUUGGUUCAUAAGCGUGAUGAUUGGGUGUUCAUGCUAUCAUGUGAGAUGUGCCUUCCUCUAAACAUUGUUACAACAUCUGCACAUUACCCACCUGAC